Molecule: small nucleolar RNA, 73 nt
Organism: Teleopsis dalmanni
Lineage: Eukaryota; Metazoa; Arthropoda; Insecta; Diptera; Diopsidae
Product: small nucleolar RNA Me28S-Cm2645
Exons: 1
Source: RefSeq, a predicted model, not a curated record
UUUAUAAUGAUGAGUUUAUGAUAGGGACAACUGAAAUCAAUGAAAGAUUUAUCAUAAUAGUAGAACUGAUAAA